This 1494-nucleotide long non-coding RNA is filed under the name Medicago truncatula (barrel medic). RNAcentral describes it as "long non-coding RNA (MTRU_LNC004777)". Lineage: Eukaryota; Viridiplantae; Streptophyta; Magnoliopsida; Fabales; Fabaceae. The record is from RNAcentral.
UCUGACAUGUAGACAUCAAUAAUAAUUUUAGAAAAAGAUGUGAUGACAUCAUAAGUGUCAGUGUCAUGUCGGUGUCGACACCAACACGUAUCAGAUACAAAUCAUAAAGUAAAAUUUAUAUUGAUGGGAAUAAAAGAGGACAUCCAUCAAAAUCAUUUCCACUGUAGUAGAUAAGGGAGGAAUUUGGACAGGCCAAAGAUUUGUUACUUGCACUACAAGCUUUCAAGUAAAUGCAAGAAAACUGAUGAUAAUUUCAAUGAUAAUGUUGGGAAUAAAUGUUCUUUGUAUAAGUUUCAUACUAAAAGAUCAAAUCAAACUGAACAAACUUUUGUUAAUGAAAGGUAAGGCAAUGAUGAUACAAUGCAUAGAAAGCAACAAGAAAAGGACCUUAACAAAAAUAUUACAGAAAAGCUUGGAACAUUAUUUAGCUAUGGAAGGGAAACAUGAAAAAUCCCAAUAAAUAGAAGUCUAAUAAAAAAAAGGGUCUUCUUAACGAGUGUCCUUAAGACACUCUUUAAGGUUUCUCAAUUAAGAAAUUAUUCUUUGAAAAAACUCACCAUUUCAAUUUCCGAUAUAUUGAAUGCACAAUUUUCCAUAAAAAUUUACUAUUUAAAGUCCUUAAAGAGUGUCCUUAGGGUACUCGCUAACAUUUCCCUAAAAAAAAGUACACCAAUAAAAAACCCGACUAAUCACUUAGCAACAGUGAAAAUAUGAUGCAUAAUUUAUUGGCAAACAUGAAUAUUAUCAAGAGUCUUCCAAUGUUAAUUGAGCUGAAUUAAAUGCUUGGAUGCUUCAAAUUAGUCCUAAUUAUCUAUGCAACUAAAUAAUUUUUUCAUUACAUCAAGAAAAUUAAAUGAUUUUAGCUUAUAACUGAAUCCGAACGGAGUAUCGAUUAGGCAAAAUUAUGAGUAAAAAAGUUAGCAGGUACUUCUGCUACUUUAUUUAUAUAUAAAAAAGGCAUCAGCAGAGAAAGAUAAUGUAGCCAUACCAAUAUGCCGGUUACCGUAAGUGUUGAGACUGCUCCCACAUCAUGAACCUGUUACUCACACAAGGAUAUCAAUUUUACAUAAAGAUUAGGAAUAAAACUUGAAGUUGUAAUGUUCUUAGUGAGGAUGUACCUUGAGAUAGAAUGCAACUGCAGUAAAUAUACAUACUGUAACCAAUCCUGAUCUCCAGAUACCUAAUUGAAAUAACAAUAUAUAUGAGUAUCAUACAUGAAGCGGAGAUAAGCAAAUGAAAAUAAAAGUAAGUUCCUUGUGCUUUGAAUUUACCAAAAGUGCAAUUCCAAUCAAAUGUGCAGGAUAGUUGGAUAUUGGGCAAUCAUGUGUAAAUUUUUUUUUUUUUUUUUAAAGAAGUUAUGUGUAAAGUAAUUAUAGACAAAGUAUACUAAUUAAAUUAAGGCUUAAUACAUGCUUUGGUCCCUUAACUUAUUUUUGAAUUCCAUUUUGGUCCUUUAACUUUAAACCGUCUCAAUUUGGUCCCAUAAUUUUACCU